Molecule: ribosomal RNA, 496 nt
Filed under: uncultured bacterium
Lineage: Bacteria
Description: bacterial SSU rRNA
Rfam family: Bacterial small subunit ribosomal RNA
Source: RNAcentral
AGAGUUUGAUCCUGGCUCAGAACGAACGCUGGCGGCAGGCUUAACACAUGCAAGUCGAACGAGAAGCCGGACUUCGGUCUGGUGGAGAGUGGCGCACGGGUGAGUAACGCGUGGGGAUUUACCCAGCAGUACGGGAUAACAUCGGGAAACCGGUGCUAAUACCGCAUACGCCCUUCGGGGGAAAGAUUUAUCGCUGUUGGAUGAACCCGCGUAAGAUUAGAUAGUUGGUGGGGUAAUGGCCUACCAAGUCGACGAUCUUUAGCUGGUCUGAGAGGAUGAUCAGCCACACUGGAACUGAGACACGGUCCAGACUCCUACGGGAGGCAGCAGUGGGGAAUAUUGGACAAUGGGCGCAAGCCUGAUCCAGCCAUGCCGCGUGAGUGAUGAAGGCCUUAGGGUUGUAAAGCUCUUUCAUCGGUGAAGAUAAUGACGGUAACCGAAGAAGAAGCCCCGGCUAACUCCGUGCCAGCAGCCGCGGUAAUACGGAGGGGGCUAG